Long non-coding RNA from Lagopus leucura (white-tailed ptarmigan), 1162 nucleotides. RefSeq lists it as uncharacterized. The record is from RefSeq and is a predicted model, not a curated record. The transcript has 6 exons. Lineage: Eukaryota; Metazoa; Chordata; Aves; Galliformes; Phasianidae.
CUAAAGAGAGAGAGGAUUAAUUAGGGCUGAUUCACAAGCAACUUAUCAUACCUACCAUCAUUGUUAGUUUCAGCCUGGCACUCUAUUUACAAAACUACUUGUGUUCUGUUUUUAGCCUUUUCAUCCUGGCAGGAAGGACUACCAUACCUUCUUCCUUCUGAAUCAGCUUGGUCUACAUGAUAAUUUUCUUGUCUCCAGACUUUCAGAAAGGGAAAAGAAAGCAAUUAUCUUCACUCAACUGACAUGAAUUUCAAGGCUCUUUAAGCUAUCCGUUCAACUGCUCGGCCUGUCCACACAGCUUUCCAAGACAACCAAAUUGAAGAUAGGAUGCUUAGUGCUGUACCAGUAUGUGUCUGAAUACCUACAAAAAAGGGCUGAUGAAACUCUACCAAGAGAUCACCGCUCUGUUUUGAAUCCUGUGAGUGGACAAGCACAGCCUCACAGAACUUGUGUAAAUGAAGAACAGGCAAUCUGAUGCAGAGCUAUGGCAGGCUACGUCGUCUGGAGUGGAAUAAGCAUCUCAGGAUCUCUCAUGGGAAAAAUGCCAGGGAGUGGAUCUUGACAGAGUAUGGUAUAAGCAUGGCUGAUUCACAGGCUCAUGGCCAGAGCCAGGAGAAGAAUGUGGAACUCCAUGCAAAGAAGGCUGUGGCACAAGGCUGGUCAUCCAGGAGCACGCACAGAACUGCAGGGAACAGAAAACAAUGCAAAGGGACUCUGGAGAGGCGGGGGAGCCCAUGGACACACAUGACUAGCUCAAUAACCAGUUUGUUACACGAAGCCAUCUAGCAUACCAUUCAAAUGAACAGCACACAGUUUGGCCAUCAGACUCCAGCCGGACCCCAACAACAAGGCGAACAAGAGAAAAGGACAACUUGUAUCUAUCUUAACAAGUUCGGCUCUCUCUGGGAUUGCGAGGCUCUGCUAACACGUCAAGUACGGCGGCAGCCCACAGCACCUGGUGCUACAGAGCACAGCUACGAGAACUCAGAACGAUUACAGCUCUGCCAUACUUCGCGAUUUCCUGCUCAGGACUGCUAAGUGAUUACUCACCCGAUACUAUAUGAGGAUUACUCAAAUGAAAGAACCGGACGAGAUGGGAAGUUUCACCUCAGCCCGCCUGGCUCCCCGCGCGACAGCGCCCGUUCUGGCAGCACCGCGCCGC